AGUGAACGCUGGCGGUAGGCCUAACACAUGCAAGUCGAACGGCAGCACAGUAAGAGCUUGCUCUUACGGGUGGCGAGUGGCGGACGGGUGAGGAAUACAUCGGAAUCUACUUUUUCGUGGGGGAUAACGUAGGGAAACUUACGCUAAUACCGCAUACGACCUACGGGUGAAAGCAGGGGAUCUUCGGACCUUGCGCGAUUGAAUGAGCCGAUGUCGGAUUAGCUAGUUGGCGGGGUAAAGGCCCACCAAGGCGACGAUCCGUAGCUGGUCUGAGAGGAUGAUCAGCCACACUGGAACUGAGACACGGUACAGACUCCUACGGGAGGCAGCAGUGGGGAAUAUUGGACAAUGGGCGCAAGCCUGAUCCAGCCAUACCGCGUGGGUGAAGAAGGCCUUCGGGUUGUAAAGCCAUUUUGUUGGGAAAGAAAAGCAGCAGGUUAAUACCCCGCUGUUCUGACGGUACCCAAAGAAUAAGCACCGGCUAGCUUCGUG
RNAcentral lists this ribosomal RNA (492 nucleotides) under uncultured bacterium. Its description in RNAcentral is "partial 16S ribosomal RNA". It matches the Rfam family "Bacterial small subunit ribosomal RNA", at positions 29 to 507 of the family's 1533-position model. The record is from RNAcentral.